CAUUGAGAAGCUAUGCAACAGCACUAGCCUUUUAAGCUAGAGAGAGAGGACCCCCUUCCUCCUCAAUGA
RNAcentral lists this transfer RNA (69 nucleotides) under Chordeiles acutipennis (lesser nighthawk). RNAcentral's name for it is "tRNA-Lys". The record is from RNAcentral. Lineage: Eukaryota; Metazoa; Chordata; Aves; Caprimulgiformes; Caprimulgidae.